This 1087-nucleotide ribosomal RNA is filed under the name Escherichia coli. RNAcentral's name for it is "partial 23S ribosomal RNA". It matches the Rfam family "Bacterial large subunit ribosomal RNA", at positions 108 to 1238 of the family's 2925-position model. The record is from RNAcentral. Lineage: Bacteria; Pseudomonadati; Pseudomonadota; Gammaproteobacteria; Enterobacterales; Enterobacteriaceae. RNAcentral also lists the same sequence under 1 other name.
CGAUUUCCGAAUGGGGAAACCCAGUGUGUUUCGACACACUAUCAUUAACUGAAUCCAUAGGUUAAUGAGGCGAACCGGGGGAACUGAAACAUCUAAGUACCCCGAGGAAAAGAAAUCAACCGAGAUUCCCCCAGUAGCGGCGAGCGAACGGGGAGGAGCCCAGAGCCUGAAUCAGUGUGUGUGUUAGUGGAAGCGUCUGGAAAGGCGCGCGAUACAGGGUGACAGCCCCGUACACAAAAAUGCACAUAUUGUGAGCUCGAUGAGUAGGGCGGGACACGUGGUAUCCUGUCUGAAUAUGGGGGGACCAUCCUCCAAGGCUAAAUACUCCUGACUGACCGAUAGUGAACCAGUACCGUGAGGGAAAGGCGAAAAGAACCCCGGCGAGGGGAGUGAAAAAGAACCUGAAACCGUGUACGUACAAGCAGUGGGAGCCUCUUAAUGGGGUGACUGCGUACCUUUUGUAUAAUGGGUCAGCGACUUAUAUUCUGUAGCAAGGUUAACCGAAUAGGGGAGCCGAAGGGAAACCGAGUCUUAACUGGGCGUUAAGUUGCAGGGUAUAGACCCGAAACCCGGUGAUCUAGCCAUGGGCAGGUUGAAGGUUGGGUAACACUAACUGGAGGACCGAACCGACUAAUGUUGAAAAAUUAGCGGAUGACUUGUGGCUGGGGGUGAAAGGCCAAUCAAACCGGGAGAUAGCUGGUUCUCCCCGAAAGCUAUUUAGGUAGCGCCUCGUGAAUUCAUCUCCGGGGGUAGAGCACUGUUUCGGCAAGGGGGUCAUCCCGACUUACCAACCCGAUGCAAACUGCGAAUACCGGAGAAUGUUAUCACGGGAGACACACGGCGGGUGCUAACGUCCGUCGUGAAGAGGGAAACAACCCAGACCGCCAGCUAAGGUCCCAAAGUCAUGGUUAAGUGGGAAACGAUGUGGGAAGGCCCAGACAGCCAGGAUGUUGGCUUAGAAGCAGCCAUCAUUUAAAGAAAGCGUAAUAGCUCACUGGUCGAGUCGGCCUGCGCGGAAGAUGUAACGGGGCUAAACCAUGCACCGAAGCUGCGGCAGCGACACUAUGUGUUGUUGGGUAGGGGAGCG